Molecule: long non-coding RNA, 773 nt
Organism: Lolium perenne
Lineage: Eukaryota; Viridiplantae; Streptophyta; Magnoliopsida; Poales; Poaceae
Source: RefSeq, a predicted model, not a curated record
CCGGGGACGGGCGAGGAUGAAAACGCAGCUAAUCAAAGAGCGCCACGCGGCUAAUAAGUCUGUAUUUUCAGCAGCCGCAUCCCCUCUCCCCCCUCGCAUUAAUCAAGCAGGUCGCCUCCGUUAGCCUGGGUGACGGGCCGUGCUCCGCCUGAACGCGCGUCCGGAGCUUGCCCGUCUGACUCCUCAACCAGAACCGGCUGGGUCAAGGGGCGGCGAGGGAGUCCACUGAUUUUGGCUGGAGGACCUCGUCGGGAGCAAGGCACGGUCUUCUCCAUCGCUGGCCAGGAGGAGGUGAUGGAGGUCGGGAAGGUGGAGGUAAGGUGGGGCGGAGAUGGCCAAGAGCGGAGGAACUCCACCGCGCCGACGACAUCCGCUGAUCCACGGGAGUGCUUCAUGGCGCUCAUUCUAUCCAUGUUUUUGUCAUGUCCGAUCUCGAUCCUUUUUUGUUCUUGAUUUUCUUUCGUUCUGCUCAUAUUUGCGGAGUUUUUUCCGGAUUUGCUUCUGAUUCAUGGAUAUCUCUAUGAAUUUGUGUUGAAUCUAGACUGCUCUAAACUGUUGUCACAAAUCUGGAGUGAGUUUGCUCCGGUGUAUGUUUCUCGGGUGAACAUGAGCUUCUCUGUAUCAACUAUGACGAGUCAUUUCUUGUAUAGAUGGUUCUGUUUUUCGGUGUUAAAAUUGUUGAUGAUAUUUUUGCAACAAUCUGUAGAAAAUGCACAAAUAUGAUUUGUAAACAGAGGUCUCAAAUAACAAUGCACAAAUCUGAUUCCUUGGUA